UUCUAUUAUUUGCAGUCAGUAACAAAGAUUCAUUCUUGUGUCAAUCACGCAACAAGGAGAAUCUUUGUCACUUAGUGUAAUUAAUAGCUGCGCC
Chinchilla lanigera (long-tailed chinchilla) is the source of this 94-nucleotide microRNA precursor. Ensembl annotates it as microRNA 802. Lineage: Eukaryota; Metazoa; Chordata; Mammalia; Rodentia; Chinchillidae. The record is from Ensembl.